This 234-nucleotide ribosomal RNA is filed under the name uncultured bacterium. RNAcentral describes it as "partial 16S ribosomal RNA". It matches the Rfam family "Bacterial small subunit ribosomal RNA", at positions 118 to 347 of the family's 1533-position model. The record is from RNAcentral.
UGAAGAAUUUGUCCAACGGUGGGGGAUAGCCGGCCCAACGGCCGGGUAAUACCGCGUACGCCCUUCGAGCGGCAUCGCUUGAUGGGGAAAGUCGCAAGACGCCGAUGGAGAACUUCGCGGCCUAUCAGCUAGUUGGUGAGGUCAUGGCUCACCAAGGCGACGACGGGUAGCUGGUCUGAGAGGAUGGCCAGCCACAUUGGGACUGAGACACGGCCCAGACUCCUACGGGAGCAG